UCAUAUCCUAAUUACUUGUAUCAUUGUCUCCGAAUAAACGUAACCUAAGCUCUAAGCUCAAAUGCCACUCUGUCACAUCCUACUGAUCUUACAUAAAAUUUUAAUAUCUCUUCAUAAUCUCUAAUGAUCUUAAACCUAAGCUUUGAUAUUAUUCUAUCACAUCCUAAUCAUUUAUAUCGUAAUUUCCAAUGAUCAUAACCUAAGCUCUAAUAUCACUAUGUAAUAUUCUAAUCACUUAUAUCAUAAUCCCUAAUGAUCAUAACCUGAGCUCUGAUACCAUUCUGUCACGCCCCGAACCCAACACCCGGGUCAGAUACGUGAUGGCCUCACACUCCUUAGAGCAAGCCCUAAAGAAUAUGCAAGGCCAAAAAUAAAUCAUUACAAUCUUAACAUCCAUACCAUUAAUUUCAAUAAUAAUUCGUAAAACCUUGCAUAAUUACAAAUUAAAUUUUUUCAAUCCUCUGAUCAGGUACUAUGACACUCUAUCUAUCCAUCUGCUCACCCAUAAAUCUAAGCCAUAGCCAAUCAUGAACGUCCUGUAUCUCUGAGAAGAAAAGAAAAAUGAAAGGGUGUGAGCUUUACAGCCCAGUAAGAAUUCCUAUAUCACACUGAUAUAGUAAUAUUGUCUGAAAAUAAGGAUAAGCAAUAAAAUAUAAAAUCUCAUGUUCAAUGUCCAGAAUAAUACAAAUAUUUAUAAAUUUUCUGUCUUGUUAAAAUAGAUGCAUCAUCAUAUGUUAACAGGUGAAACACUUUUAUUCAAUAAUUAUUUCAUGUCUUAUCUUUCAUUUCUCCUUUCAUAAUCACAUGAUUCUUAACAGUUUCUUUCCGGCUCUGGACUAUCCAAGUCUAUACCUCAGUCAUCAUCUGGAUCGAAUCCACUUAAAAAGUCUUUCAAGACUAUCCCAGGAUGAGCUCCUGGCCGGCUGUCCCACGUACCAAAGCCCGUGAGAGGCUGUCCCAGGCAUAAGCUCCUGGCGGGCUGUCCCAGGCAUGAGCUCCUGGCCGGCUGAUCCACCUNNNN
Molecule: long non-coding RNA, 1021 nt
Filed under: Elaeis guineensis (African oil palm)
Lineage: Eukaryota; Viridiplantae; Streptophyta; Magnoliopsida; Arecales; Arecaceae
Description: long non-coding RNA (EGUI_LNC073683)
Source: RNAcentral